This 259-nucleotide non-coding RNA is filed under the name Paraburkholderia sabiae. The record is from RNAcentral. Lineage: Bacteria; Pseudomonadati; Pseudomonadota; Betaproteobacteria; Burkholderiales; Burkholderiaceae.
UAUCGUAUGCGCGCAUCUGGUGCCGCGCGGAACGCUCGAAGGUCUGCGCGGUUAAACGGGAAACAGGGAAGCGCCCGCUCGUCGCAACAUGAAAGCGACGACCUCGCGCUCAGCCUGUGCUGUCCCCGCAACGGUCACGCGGCGAGCGGAAAACAUCUUCCGCGCAGUGCGUUCGGAGCCACUGUCUGCCACUCGCAGAUGGGAAGGCGAACGCGAUGAGCCGCCAGCCCGGAUACCGGCCCGAUGCAAGGGGGCGAAC